Molecule: long non-coding RNA, 334 nt
Filed under: Fukomys damarensis (Damara mole-rat)
Lineage: Eukaryota; Metazoa; Chordata; Mammalia; Rodentia; Bathyergidae
Description: lncRNA (ENSFDAG00000023009.1)
Source: RNAcentral
CCCAAAUGGCAGUGAUGCACUGAGCAACUAACAGAAGCACAGUAAUGAUGACUAGUAAAGGCAUCAGCAGAAAAACCUUUCCCAGUUACCCCUGAAAUCACCCCAGGUUGAGAGAAGAGAGCACAGUUCCUUAGGGGACAACAGCUCCUCAGUUCCUGGUGCCUCCACGAGGGUACAAAGGCAGGAAGCGCAAGGAAUUUUGAAAGGACAGCCAGGAGGAUCCCCCAUCUUCAGAUGUUUUGCAGAAUUUUUGGCGUCAGUGUGAAGCAUCGGAGAAGAGGGGACCUUCACUUCUUGCCAACAGCCCUCCAACACCAUACUCAGAUACGACACC